CAGUCGCCACGGGAAUACGAAGGGGGCUAGCGUUGUUCGGAAUUACUGGGCGUAAAGGGCGCGUAGGCGGCGAUCAAAGUCAGGCGUGAAAUUCCUGGGCUCAACCUGGGGGCUGCGUUUGACACUUGAUUGCUAAAGUGGGGAAGAGGGUCGUGGAAUUCCCAGUGUAGAGGUGAAAUGCGUAGAGAUGUGGAGGAAUACCGAUGGCGAAGGCAGCCCCCUGGGCCAAUACUGACGCUCAUGCACGAAAGCGUGGGGAGCAAACAGGAUUAGAUACCCCUGUAGUCCCUGUCUCUUAUAC
RNAcentral lists this ribosomal RNA (301 nucleotides) under uncultured bacterium. RNAcentral's name for it is "partial 16S ribosomal RNA". It matches the Rfam family "Bacterial small subunit ribosomal RNA", at positions 509 to 807 of the family's 1533-position model. The record is from RNAcentral.